AAAAUUCAAAUAAUUUCUAAUAACUCAAUCAAACUUUAAUCUAUCAAAAUAUAUUUAAAAAAAGUCACAAAAGAAAUACAAAAAAUCCUAAUAAAAAUCCCAAUGUAAUCCUAUUUGAAACCUUAAUUAAAUCUUAAUCAAAUCUUAGGUCAAAUCCAAAUGAAAUCCUAAAUCCUAAACAAGUUUUAAAUCAAAUCCUAAAAAAAUCCUAAUUCUAUCCAAAUCCUAGACCAAAUCCUAAACCAAAUCCUAAUCAAAUCUUAAAUCUUAAACAAACUCUUAACAAAUCUUAUGGCAAAAUAGAAUCUCAACAACUAAUGAUUAAAUCAUUGAUAUCAACUCAAUUUUUUCAUACUUCUUAAUAUCUUAGUUAAGAACAAGUAUAAGAAAGAUGAAAUCAAUUGCACAUAUCAAUUGAGAAAAAUACAAGAUAAUCCAAUUAGGUGUUGGAUAGCCUCUUACUCUAACCUGAAUGUUGAACUUUCAGUGCCAAUAUCUCCUUUUUGAACUAUUGAAUUG
Molecule: long non-coding RNA, 519 nt
Filed under: Physcomitrium patens
Lineage: Eukaryota; Viridiplantae; Streptophyta; Bryopsida; Funariales; Funariaceae
Description: long non-coding RNA (PPAT_LNC010265)
Source: RNAcentral